RNAcentral lists this long non-coding RNA (1346 nucleotides) under Apteryx owenii (little spotted kiwi). Its description in RNAcentral is "lncRNA (ENSAOWG00000003175.1)". The record is from RNAcentral. Lineage: Eukaryota; Metazoa; Chordata; Aves; Apterygiformes; Apterygidae.
UUGCUGUGCAGGAAGCCCCUGGAGGCCGGCAGACGCCUUAUCGCUUCGUGCCAGGGUGUGCGGGGACCUGGAGGGCAGUGCCCCGCUGCCCUAGGCUCAGCAUCUAGCUCUUAGAGAGGUGACACCAUGAGCGUCUUGGAGGCACCGCGUUAAUUUAAGGACAUCUCACGAGUGAACGCUGAGCCAUGCUGGAUCUGCUGACUUCAAAUCCACAGUCUGAAGAUGUAGGAUCCAGAGCAUUAUUUGAAACAACCUGCAGCUGGGCUCAGUGCAAGGCAAAACACCACGGGAAAAGGCGGAAAACUGGCUGUUGCGGAGCGCCGGUGCCCGAGAGCUGGACUGCCGGGGCACGGGAAUCUCCCGGUGUCAUUACUUGCUGCGCCGAAAACAACCGGCGACCGAGGCUCGUUGCAGUGACUUGGGUUCAAAGCGUGGCAAUUGCACAAACCGCAUAAACCAACACUUUUACCUCGGCGGAGGGUGCAGGCUUUAUCGUGGUGCUUUUCUGCAUGGAUAUUUGCUCCAGUCGUCUUGGGCUGUUUUCCUACUGGCCACCGAACUGCCCGUGAACACUCGCGUAGCAGUUCAUGCUCGAACGGAGCAUCGUCUUUUGGUUUAGCAUAAAUCUGUCCGACUUCCAGCUGAACCAAAAACAGACACAACGCGACACGGCCAUCCCUGGGCAAAAAUAGCAGCAACCCCCCCAAGGGCGUGCUAGGCUGAUUUUCACUUACGGCUCUCGUUACACGUGCACCAAGCUCCCCGCCUGGCAAAACCCCUUUGUUUGGUGCGAAAAGGUGGGAAGAGGGGGUUUUCUGCAGGCGUUAUCUGCGUGUGCUGCUCCUUUGAGAUGCAACGGGGAACCUGGGCAUCAUGUCACGGGCUGAGGACUGUGGAGCAGCACAUUUAAAUAAGGCUUUACUUGCGCGUGGGUUUCUUUGCAGUUGAGUUUCUCUUCCCUUUUAUAUUACGAGCUGGCAUUAUCCUCAGCUCAAACAACCAGUGCACCUCCUAUUCCUAAAGGUUUUAUAACAGAUCACGUGAUUUCACUCAACUCCCUUGCUCUUUGGGCCGCCAAGGUGUUUACACAAGGCGCAUGGUGCAGAGGCGGUUUUGUUUCUGCAGAAAGGCUGCUCGGCACUGGCAGCUUUCGCAAUUCCUUGGACAAUCUUGCCCUCUCUUGUGUUUUUUUCCUUUAAAGCUAAACCUCCUAGGAGUCGACAAUUUUACCCAAUUUUCUUCACUGGAAUUUAUUUCAAGCAUGUUUGAAGCCUUCGUGAUUAAGGAUAAUCAUAAAGAAGGUGGCACGUAAAAAUGUCAUAAAUGGGUUUGAUUUUCAUCUUGCG